Molecule: long non-coding RNA, 523 nt
Filed under: Medicago truncatula (barrel medic)
Lineage: Eukaryota; Viridiplantae; Streptophyta; Magnoliopsida; Fabales; Fabaceae
Description: lncRNA gene9775
Source: RNAcentral
UGAAUAAACCUAAAAAGUGAAUUUUGCUUAUAUUUUGAAACGGAGGGAGUAUAUGUUACGAUGAUAUGACUGAAAUCAGUAGACAAGAAUACAAUCAAGCUGCCUUAUUUCAUUACCAUCAUAAUAGAGAACAAAUCCAUAACUACAAUCUUUGUCAAAUUAGAAAAAGAAAGUUAUUGGAUUGCAACAUGAUAACUAAAUGGUACCUCUUAAUAUAAGUCGGACAUUUGUGUACUCGUGAACACUUGUAGAAUCUAUGGUAUAAAUCCUAUACAAUCACACCAGCCUUCUGAGCAUACCGGUUUAAUACCAGGCAUGCACCUUUCAUUUCGACAAUCAGAAUCUCCAAUACAUAUAGUUUUUGCUGUAAUGAAAAAUAUGAAUAAAAGUAUGUUAUUAAAAUGUAAUAAAAUAUUAUGUAUGAAGAAUGUAUUACCUUCCAUGUUUGUUGCAAUAAUAAAUAUGGAAAGAAAGAUAAUUAUAACAUAAACAAACUUGACAAUAUCUUCCAUACUCCCCCCUA